RNAcentral lists this transfer RNA (73 nucleotides) under Stichococcus bacillaris. Its description in RNAcentral is "tRNA-Ala". It matches the Rfam family "tRNA". From Rfam's summary of the family: Transfer RNA (tRNA) molecules are approximately 80 nucleotides in length. Their secondary structure includes four short double-helical elements and three loops (D, anti-codon, and T loops). The record is from RNAcentral. Lineage: Eukaryota; Viridiplantae; Chlorophyta; Trebouxiophyceae; Prasiolales; Stichococcaceae.
GGGAGUAUAGCUCAGUUGGUAGAGCGUCGUCCUUGCACGGCGAAUGUCAGCGGUUCGAACCCGCUUACUUCCA